Molecule: ribosomal RNA, 245 nt
Filed under: uncultured bacterium
Lineage: Bacteria
Description: partial 16S ribosomal RNA
Rfam family: Bacterial small subunit ribosomal RNA
Source: RNAcentral
UGGGUAACCUGCCUCAAAGAGGGGAAUAGCCUCCCGAAAAGGGAGAUUAAUACCGCAUAAUAUGUUUAAGUCGCAUGACUUUAACAUCAAAGGAUUUUCUUUUAAGAAAAUUCCACUUUGAGAUGGACCCGCGGCGCAUUAGCUAGUUGGUGAGGUAACGGCUCACCAAGGCAACGAUGCGUAGCCGACCUGAGAGGGUGAUCGGCCACAUUGGAACUGAGACACGGUCCAGACUCCGUAGGGAG